UCUGUGCCGCAAAGUCACUCACUGGUGACCUGAACCAUCUGUAUUCUCUCACCAACCCAGUUUAUUGCUUGUCUCUCUCUGGGAAUAUCAAGGAAAAAAAAUGGAGAAGAAGGAGUCUUAAUGGAACGUGUUCCCCUUAAUUAUCAUUAUAUCAGUCCUCUUUUCCCUAUAGACAUUAGCCUCUCUUGCAUUUCAAUCCUGCAUCUGCUCUUUUGCUGGACAAGAGAGAACUCCAGACCCAGAGUCUACAACACCUUCCUGCUCAGGAUCUUGGCUGAGGACGUGAUACCUGCUACCUUGGGCCUAUGAAAAGAGAAGAUCAAGGAUGAAAAUCCAAUGAAUUGAGGAUGGUAGAAAAAAAGGGAAAGCAUCAGGCUUGAUCUCCAACAAGAACCUUCAAUCAAACACUAUGCUUCUGGUUAAGUAAAUAGUAUGCUUCCUUGUUUGCAAACCAGUGCUAAUCGUGUUUUCUGUUACUUGUCUACAAAUGGGAUUAGCCAGGGCAAUAAAAUGAUGUCUAAACAGGUGAUAUAUAGGGCU
Molecule: long non-coding RNA, 540 nt
Filed under: Felis catus (domestic cat)
Lineage: Eukaryota; Metazoa; Chordata; Mammalia; Carnivora; Felidae
Description: lncRNA (ENSFCAG00000053267.1)
Source: RNAcentral